This 491-nucleotide ribosomal RNA is filed under the name uncultured bacterium. Its description in RNAcentral is "bacterial SSU rRNA". It matches the Rfam family "Bacterial small subunit ribosomal RNA", at positions 29 to 509 of the family's 1533-position model. The record is from RNAcentral.
AGUGAACGCUGGCGGCAGGCCUAAUACAUGCAAGUCGAACGGCAGCACAGCAGAGCUUGCUCUGUGGGUGGCGAGUGGCGGACGGGUGAGGAAUACAUGGGAAUCUGCCCAGUCGUGGGGGAUAACGUAUGGAAACGUACGCUAAUACCGCAUGCGCCCUAAGGGGGAAAGCCGGGACCGCAAGGCCUGGCGCGAUUGGAUGAGCCCAUGUUCGAUUAGCUAGUUGGCGGGGUAAAGGCCCACCAAGGCGACGAUCGAUAGCUGGUCUGAGAGGAUGAUCAGCCACACUGGAACUGAGACACGGUCCAGACUCCUACGGGAGGCAGCAGUAGGGAAUAUUGGAUAAUGGGGGCAACCCUGAUCCAGCCAUGCCGCGUGAGUGAAGAAGGCCCUCGGGUUGUAAAGCUCUUUUGUCCGGAAAGAAAAGCAAUCGGUUAAUACCCGGUUGUUCUGACGGUACCGGAAGAAUAAGCACCGGCUAACUUCGUGCC